This 1354-nucleotide non-coding RNA is filed under the name Pongo abelii (Sumatran orangutan). Lineage: Eukaryota; Metazoa; Chordata; Mammalia; Primates; Hominidae. The record is from RNAcentral.
CUUAAAGGGGCCGGCGCUCUACCUAGCGAAGCCACCCAUCCCUGGUAGUGGAGAGGCUUGGGACUAGAGGAUGGGAUUCGGCCUCAUACUCUGCACUGUUGUGUGAGCCGCACAACCCCAAAGACCAGGGCUGUGUCCCAAGGUCCCCCGCCUCGGGCGGCCGCGGUGGCGGCGGCGACGAGGCUUCUCCUAGAGGCGUCUCGGCGCAACCCCGCCCCCUCGACCCAGGGGCUGACUCCAGGCCCAGCCCCGACACCGAAGGCUUUCUUUCCGCAGCCUCGCUGGAGCCUGCUGUCUGCUCCCUGCAGAAGUCCUGACGGCGGCGUACCCCGGGAGACGCCGGCAGCCCCGAGAAGCCAGCCGCCGCCGUCAUUCCAGUCAGAAAAAUGGCCUGCGGGGCACGCGCCGGUGCGCCCUGCCAACCAUGUCCGGACUUUGGACUUUGGACAGGAAGGCGUCCCGGCUCAGCUGUGGUCUGAUCAGAGUUUAACCUGUCCCACGCAAGAGAACCUCGAUCGGGUUUCCUCGCUUACCUGAGUCACCUGGGCACUUGUUAGGCCCAGCUGUCUUCAGUUCCAUUAGCGGCCAGUUACCCAAAUGCUAAAUCAAAUCCCCGUGGACCUUGGCCUGGCGCGGCGCGUGCUGUUUUCCUCCGAGAGGAGGAGCUAAAAGUAGCACCUUGCCUUCUAAAUUUAGGACCCUAUUUUUAGGACCGUCGAAUAAAGUGCCAAGUGCUGGAUUUGUUCGUAGGAGACGGUUUUAGCUGACGUAGGUGUAAAGGAUAACCCAUCUCAUACAUAUGUCUUCCUUGCCAGCAUAAUCAUUCUCAUAUUCUGCCUUCUCACUCAAGUACUUUGGUGAAGCAACUCAAAAAGGAGCAGAUACUUCCUCCUAAACAAAUCACCCAAAAGAACUCAAUAGAUGAACAAAAUCUUAAAUCCUUAGGAAAUUUUCCUGAUGUAACCUCUUGUAGCAACGAAUUGUUAUGCCAUUUAAAAAAUCAAAAACGGGCCCAAGUUCACAGCAAGUGAUUUUUCAGGACCAAAAUGCGGCCUAGCUUUUCAGAACUCAGAUUGCUAUUUCUCCUUUGCCACAUCAGCCUGAGGAGUUUCAGGAAAUGCUAAUAUCAGAGUAGCCGAAAUUGCUUAGUAAUUCUCCAUUGUUAAGGUAUAAGGUAUUACACAACUUUCAUACGUGUUAGACAGUGUGUAUUAAAAUUACAUUAUGUGAAUGGUUUAUUAAAGUCAAAACAAGCAUAAUCAAACUUUUUAGAAUUUCACAGACUCCUAGAACAAUGUGUAUGCCUCAAUUAGAACAUUGUAUUACUCAGUAAAAAUUCUUCAAUGUGUCUGAA